AGCAGAGUGGCACAGUGGUAGCAUGCUGGACCCAUAACCCAGAGGUCCGUGGAUAGAACACACCUCAGCAG
Dryococelus australis is the source of this 71-nucleotide non-coding RNA. The record is from the annotation of a GenBank genome assembly. Lineage: Eukaryota; Metazoa; Arthropoda; Insecta; Phasmatodea; Phasmatidae.